Molecule: ribosomal RNA, 473 nt
Filed under: uncultured eukaryote
Lineage: Eukaryota
Description: SSU rRNA
Rfam family: Eukaryotic small subunit ribosomal RNA
Source: RNAcentral
GUAAAACUGCGAAUGGCUCAUUACAACAGUUAUUGUUUAUUUGAUACAUUAAAUGGAUAACUGUAGAAAAACUAGAGCUAAUACAUGCUUAAGCUGUAAGGCUGUAUUUAUUAGAUAUUCCGGAUUGGUGAAUCAUAAUAACUUCGCAAAUCUCGUUUAUGACGAGAUAAAUCAUCCAAGUUUCUGCCCUAUCAUGCUUUCGAUGGUAGUGUAUUGGACUACCAUUGGCUCGCACGGGUAACAGGGAAUUAGGGUUCGAUUUCUGGAGAAGGAGCCUGAGACACGGCUACUACAUCUACGGAAGGCAGCAGGCGCGUAAAUUACCCAAUCCUGACUCAGGGAGGUGGUGACAAGAUAUAACAACGCGGUUAUUAUCGCGAUUGUAGUGAGGGUAUUCUAAACAGAACCUAUAGUACGAUUAGAGGGCAAGUCUGGUGCCAGCAGCCGCGGUAAUUCCAGCUCUAAUAGCGUAU